This 255-nucleotide ribosomal RNA is filed under the name uncultured bacterium. Its description in RNAcentral is "partial 16S ribosomal RNA". It matches the Rfam family "Bacterial small subunit ribosomal RNA", at positions 524 to 776 of the family's 1533-position model. The record is from RNAcentral.
UACGUAGGGUGCAAGCGUUAAUCGGAAUUACUGGGCGUAAAGCGUGCGCAGGCGGUUUUGUAAGUCUGUCGUGAAAGCCCCGGGCUUAACCUGGGAAUUGCGAUGGAGACUGCAAGGCUUGAAUCUGGCAGAGGGGGGUAGAAUUCCACGUGUAGCAGUGAAAUGCGUAGAGAUGUGGAGGAAUACCGAUGGCGAAGGCAGCCCCCCUGGGAUAACACUGACGCUCAUGGCACGAAAGCGUGGGGAGCAAACAGG